Molecule: ribosomal RNA, 497 nt
Filed under: uncultured bacterium
Lineage: Bacteria
Description: partial 16S ribosomal RNA
Rfam family: Bacterial small subunit ribosomal RNA
Source: RNAcentral
GAUGAACGCUGGCGGCGUGCCUAAUACAUGCAAGUCGAGCGAACAGAUGAGGAGCUUGCUCCUUUGACGUUAGCGGCGGACGGGUGAGUAACACGUGGAUAACCUACCUAUAAGACUGGGAUAACUUCGGGAAACCGGAGCUAAUACCGGAUAACAUUUUGAACCGCAUGGUUCAAUAGUGAAAGAUGGUUUUGCUGUCACUUAUAGAUGGAUCCGCGCCGCAUUAGCUAGUUGGUAAGGUAACGGCUUACCAAGGCAACGAUGCGUAGCCGACCUGAGAGGGUGAUCGGCCACACUGGAACUGAGACACGGUCCAGACUCCUACGGGAGGCAGCAGUAGGGAAUCUUCCGCAAUGGGCGAAAGCUUGACGGAGCAACGCCGCGUGAGUGAUGAAGGUCUUCGGAUCGUAAAACUCUGUUAUUAGGGAAGAACAAAUGUGUAAGUAACUAUGCACGUCUUGACGGUACCUAAUCAGAAAGCCACGGCUAACUACGUG